GAAACUCCUGCUAAUACCGCAUAGCCAUGAGCACCGCAUGGAGCUCAUGCCAAAUAUCCUUUAUGGGAUAGCGCAGGGAUGGACCUAUGGCGCAUUAGCUUGUUGGCGGGGCAACGGCCCACCAAGGCAACGAUGCGUAGCCGGCCUGAGAGGGCGGACGGCCACAUUGGGACUGAGACACGGCCCAGACUCCUACGGGAGGCAGCAGUAGGGAAUUUUCGGCAAUGGGGGAAACCCUGACCGAGCAACGCCGCGUGAGCGAAGAAGGCCUUCGGGUCGUAAAGCUCUGUUGUAAAGGAAGAACGGCGCAUACAGGAAAUGGUAUGCGAGUGACGGUACUUUACCAGAAAGCCACGGCUAACUACGUGCCAGCAGCCGCGGUAAUACGUAGGUGGCGAGCGUUAUCCGGAAUCAUUGGGCGUAAAGAGGGAGCAGGCGGCCGCAAGGGUCUGUGGUGAAAGACCGAAGCUAAACUUCGGUAAGCCAUGGAAACCGGGCGGCUAGAGUGCGGAAGAGGAUCGUGGAAUUCCAUGUGUAGCGGUGAAAUGCGUAGAUAUAUGGAGGAACACCAGUGGCGAAGGCGACGGUCUGGGCCGCAACUGACGCUCAUUCCCGAAAGCGUGGGGAGCAAAUAGGAUUAGAUACCCUAGUAGUCCACGCCGUAAACGAUGGUCACUAAGUGUCGGGGGUCAAACCCCGGUGCU
This 704-nucleotide ribosomal RNA is filed under the name uncultured bacterium. RNAcentral's name for it is "bacterial SSU rRNA". It matches the Rfam family "Bacterial small subunit ribosomal RNA", at positions 153 to 847 of the family's 1533-position model. The record is from RNAcentral.